UGCCGGCGACCGGCGGACGGGUGCGUAACGCGUAUGUAACCUACCUUUUGACAGGGGGAUAACAUCGAGAAAUUGGUACUAAUACCCCAUAACAUCACCGGAGGCAUCUUCGGUGGUUGAAAACUCAGGUGGUCAGAGAUGGACAUGCGUUGUAUUAGCUAGUUGGUGAGGUAACGGCUCACCAAGGCGACGAUACAUAGGGGGACUGAGAGGUCAACCCCCCACAUUGGUACUGAGACACGGACCAAACUCCUACGGAAGGCAGCAG
RNAcentral lists this ribosomal RNA (268 nucleotides) under uncultured bacterium. Its description in RNAcentral is "partial 16S ribosomal RNA". It matches the Rfam family "Bacterial small subunit ribosomal RNA", at positions 86 to 354 of the family's 1533-position model. The record is from RNAcentral.